RNAcentral lists this non-coding RNA (168 nucleotides) under Neobacillus bataviensis. Lineage: Bacteria; Bacillati; Bacillota; Bacilli; Caryophanales; Bacillaceae. The record is from RNAcentral.
UCCGUGGUAACGCGGAAUCUGAACGAAGCGAGCGGCAACCCUCCGGUCUGAGGAACACGAACUAUAAGGCUAGGUAUCAUUGGAUGAGUUUGCUUUACAAAACAAAGUCCUUACUGCCGAAGGUGGUACAGAGUAAAUGAAGCAGAUCUAAAAAGCUCAGAGUCUCCU